This 336-nucleotide unclassified non-coding RNA is filed under the name uncultured fungus. RNAcentral describes it as "partial contains 5.8S ribosomal RNA and internal transcribed spacer 2". The stretch from base 1 to 134 matches the Rfam family "5.8S ribosomal RNA", at positions 22 to 154 of the family's 154-position model. The record is from RNAcentral. Lineage: Eukaryota; Fungi.
UGGUUCUGGCAUCGAUGAAGAACGCAGCGAAAUGCGAUAAGUAAUGCGAAUUGCAGAAUUUCAGUGAGUCAUCGAAUCUUUGAACGCACAUUGCGCCCUUUGGUAUUCCGAAGGGCAUGCCUGUUCGAGCGUCAUUAACACCCCUCAAGCCUGGCUUGUUGUUGGGUCAUGCCUAAACUUUACAGUCAAGGCUGCCCCCAAACGUAAUGACGGCGUCCAUGGGGACUCUCGGUACAACGAGCUUUUUACAAGGCACGUAUCGCAGAAGACUUGUGGCACGGUCGAUACCUUUUUUUCUUCAAGGUUGACCUCGGAUCAGGUAGGAAUACCCGCUGA